GAUGAACGCUAGCUACAGGCUUAACACAUGCAAGUCGCGGGGCAGCAUGGGGGUUGCUUGCAAUCCCCGAUGGCGACCGGCGCACGGGUGAGUAACGCGUAUCCAACCUGCCCUUCACCACGGGAUAACCCGGCGAAAGUCGGACUAAUACCGUAUGUUGUCCAUUGACGGCAUCCGAUUUGGACGAAAGGUUUGGCGGUGAAGGAUGGGGAUGCGUCCGAUUAGCAGGACGGCGGGGUGACGGCCCACCGUGGCGACGAUCGGUAGGGGUUCUGAGAGGAAGGUCCCCCACACUGGAACUGAGACACGGUCCAGACUCCUACGGGAGGCAGCAGUGAGGAAUAUUGGUCAAUGGGCGUAAGCCUGAACCAGCCAAGUAGCGUGCAGGAUGACGGCCCUAUGGGUUGUAAACUGCUUUUAUGCGGGGAUAAAGUGGCCCACGUGUGGGUUUUUGCAGGUACCGCAUGAAUAAGGACCGGCUAAUUCCGUG
This 490-nucleotide ribosomal RNA is filed under the name uncultured bacterium. Its description in RNAcentral is "partial 16S ribosomal RNA". It matches the Rfam family "Bacterial small subunit ribosomal RNA", at positions 28 to 507 of the family's 1533-position model. The record is from RNAcentral.